CACUGAUCAGUUGAAGCGUGACUUCCUUUAGAGAGCCCUUCCAGAACUCCAAAAUCUAGAUUGUCAAUUUAUGUAUUCCUUAAACUAUUCCUUUAUCCAAAUUUAUUGUUAGUUGAAUAUAGUGUUUAUUUCAUAAAACUCCCCAUAUUUCUACUUAUAGUCUCUUAUUCCUGAUUAUUUUUUAUGUUCCCACCAUACUUACUUGUGAGAGGCUGUACUACUGACAUACAUUCUACAUUUAUUUUUGUUAAAAGCUCCCCAUGGUAGUAUUACUUUUGUUACAAUGACUUCAGGGAGACUCCAAUAAGGGAAAAAAAAAAACCUAUUAUUCCCAUAGCUACUAUUUCUGGAGCUCUUCACUUCUUUAUCUAGAUCAAUUUAUACUUUGAUAUUAAUCUUCUGCCUGAAGAACUUCCUUUAAUAUUUCUCAUAUGCAGGUUUGAAGUCUCAUUCACUUUGAUUUUCAAAAUACGUUUUUGCUGGGUAUAGAAUUCUAAGUUGAUGGAUUUAAAUUAUUUUUUUAAUACCUAAAUGUUGCUCCAUUGUGCUUUUACUUGUUUCAUGUGAGAAAUUUGCUAUUGGGUAUAUAAUGUGUCAUUUUUCUCUGGCUGGUUUUAAGCAAUAGAUCAUAGUGUGCUUUCAUGUAGUUUUGUUUGUGUCAUUUGUGCUUACACUACAUUGAGCUGCAUGCAUCUGUAGGUUUAUAGUUUCAUCAAAUUUUGGCCAUGAUUUGAAUUAUUUUUGGUAUACUUUCCUUGGGAACUCCAAUUGCAUUUAUCUGAGAUGGCUUCAUGUGUUCCAGAGUUAAUUGUUAUUUUUCAAAUUAAUUUUCCUAUUCAUGUUUCAUUUUGAAUAGUUUGCCUUGCUAUGCUUGAACUUCACUAAUCCUUUGUUCUGUGGUGUCCAAUUAGCCAUAAUUUAUAUAUUCAUCAUCUUAUACCUUGUAGGUUUUUUUUCCUUCAUAAGUUGGAUUCAGAUCUUUAUCUUUGCUGUCUCUACUUAAGUUUUUUGAAUGUAGGCAAUACAGUUUAUAACACUUUUUAAUGCCUAUGGUAAUUCUAUAUUCUUAUUAGUUCUGGGUUGGUUUUUAUUGGUUUGCAGACUCCUAUUGGAUGUAUUUUUCCCACUCCUUUGUAUCACUUGUAAUUUUGAUUAUGUGCUGGGCAUUUUAAAUCUUACUAUAUUAGAUGAUUAAUAUUUUUGUAUUCUUGAACUUUGUUCUAGGACACAGUUAAAGUUAAAUAGAAACCUUUGUUUCCCUUCAAGAUUUGCUUUUAAUAUUGCUUGGUAGUAUUCAAAAAGUAUUUGAUACAAGGUUAAUUACUGAGGCUAGACUCUCCUGAAUAUUCUAAUAGGUGCCUUAUGAGUUAUGAAAUUUUCUACUCUGGUUUGAGAACAGACACUGAUUCUGUUCUUAGAUGAGUGUGUUUCUUCUAAUUCUUUGGGGGAAAUUCCUUCCCCAGCCUUGUAUAGUUUUUUCAAACCUAUACGCUAAUCAGUACU
RNAcentral lists this long non-coding RNA (1503 nucleotides) under Marmota monax (woodchuck). Lineage: Eukaryota; Metazoa; Chordata; Mammalia; Rodentia; Sciuridae. The record is from RNAcentral.